GACGAACGCUGGCGGCGUGCUUAACACAUGCAAGUCGAACGGAAAGGCCCUGCUUUUGUGGGGUGCUCGAGUGGCGAACGGGUGAGUAACACGAGAGUAACCUGCCCUUGACUUUGGGAUAACUUCAGGAAACUGGGGCUAAUACCGGAUAGGAGCUCCUGCUGCAUGGUGGGGGUUGGAAAGUUUCGGCGGUUGGGGAUGGACUCGCGGCUUAUCAGCUUGUUGGUGGGGUAGUGGCUUACCAAGGCUUUGACGGGUAGCCGGCCUGAGAGGGUGACCGGCCACAUUGGGACUGAGAUACGGCCCAGACUCCUACGGGAGGCAGCAGUGGGGAAUAUUGCACAAUGGGCGGAAGCCUGAUGCAGCAACGCCGCGUGCGGGAUGACGGCCUUCGGGUUGUAAACCGCUUUCGCCUGUGACGAAGCGUGAGUGACGGUAAUGGGUAAAGAAGCACCGGCUAACUACGUG
Molecule: ribosomal RNA, 468 nt
Filed under: uncultured bacterium
Lineage: Bacteria
Description: partial 16S ribosomal RNA
Rfam family: Bacterial small subunit ribosomal RNA
Source: RNAcentral